AUGGGAAAGAAACCUGGAAAGGUAGGGAGUACCCUUGGCUGUGUACAUUUGAGUAAAGAGAGCACUAUAAAAUCAAAAACCAAUGAAAUGGUUUCCAGAACACAGAACUAUUAAGCUUAAGAAAAGGACAGAAGGAACUGAAGAGAGAGGAACUGUUUUGGAGCAUCACACUUCCACCUCAGAAGAAAUAAGGAAGGAAGGAGGAGGGUGUUCCCACGGCUCUUCAACCAGGCCGGCUCUUCAGCCUACAUCCCCAUCUCAUCAAGUAAAAGGGAUUUUUCAACUGGACCAACCAGAUGGUUUAACAGUGCACUCCCACACCAUUCAACUACGCAAGGGAGAUACACUUAACAUAUGCAGUCGUAUAACACCUACUAACAUUUUCAAACAUUAAACCUUUAAAAAAGAGUUCUAAAGAAAUAGAAGCUUGAAGUAUCAUCUCUCAAGUAUAUAGACACUACUUCAUGGUGUGGUAAUAUAUGCAUAUAGAAGCUAGUAAACACCUCCAGGAGAUGCAAAAGGAAUUAGAACUGCCACAAGGUGCAAGCAAAACCUUGAGGUAAUCAAUCUGCAUCCCAUUUUGGAUGAGAAUAUUUGCAACUUUGAAGGUUAUUUUAAGGACAGCAGCAGAAGAAUUAUGGCAGGUAUCUGAAAUUCAUUUCUGUGCUUUGCCGAGGACCCAUGGGAUGCCAUUUGCAGAUGAGAAAACUAAAGAAUAGCUUUAUCUUCCAGCUCUUCACGGAAAAAAAAAUGGCAACAAUAAAAUCAGCAACUCCUGCCAAAUAAAUGGGCAUAAAAAAGAAAUCAUAGACUGCUGGCAAUGGUGGGGAAAAAGUUAUAAAAAUUGUCUCUGCACCAUCUUCCUUUUGUCCUCUAAAAUAUUCACAUUAGCAAAAGUAUAUAACAGCUGAUGAAGAAAUACUGAUAAUUUGUCUUUAGUGAAUAUACCUUGGAAGACGUGUCCUGCCUUUAGUAGCGUCACAAUGGAUUACAUCCUCUAUAAAGCAGUCUGGGGUGAGAAAAUCGAAUUUGGACACCGUUGAGGAGACUAUUGCAGUCAUCCAAGCUCAAGAUGGUGGAGCUUCAUCCUUGAGAAUAACCAAUGGGGAUAGAUUUAAGAGACACUUAGAGUCUGCAGCCAACAGGGCUGAAUGAGCAGAGAGUUAUGAUUCAGAAGAUCAUCUAAAAUUGAACAGCUGCCACUACUGGCAAUAAGUCUACUGCCAUUUGGUAGAUAACCUUCUUAUCACACAGAAAAAUAUCAGUACAGACAAAUAGACCGCAAAGAAAAUGAGACCAUCAGCAAAGAAGAUAAAGAAGUUUGUACAAAGCAACUUUUUAUAAAUGGAUGGCUGUCAGGCAAAAAUAAAUUUCCUGUGGACAAGACCAAGAGCAAGGCAAGAGGAAAAUAAACAUGUUUAAACUA
This is a long non-coding RNA of Homo sapiens (human), 1426 nucleotides long. Ensembl annotates it as long intergenic non-protein coding RNA 343. The record is from Ensembl. NCBI's taxonomy places the organism in Eukaryota, Metazoa, Chordata, Mammalia, Primates, Hominidae.